AUGGAGGCCUCGCCAGGACCCGACCUCCUUCCCCCAGAGCUUCCCUACCCACCUGGGCAAACAGGGCAUCUGGGACGGGUGACGCUCGAACGUUUCUCAGACAGCCAGGCCUACACAGGCCUGGAGACAUUCAACCCCCACAGGGGAGGACGGGAGGCCCAGGCGGCCCCGUGCGGUCUACCUCCUGUCUCCUCGCUCAUUUGCCCAUCGCCAUCUCAGUGGUCUCCCCGGGAAUCCUGCAGGGUCAGCCUCCCCCCGGGCAGGUGGGCCCAGCCACCGCUCUCCCGACACCUGGCUUGUUGGCACCAGGGAGGGCCUCGGUGCACGGGGGCCUUCGAGGGAAGUGAGCCCACGAGAAGCAACCCUGGGUCUCAAAGAGGACAUUUAUGGUUUGCAGGAGAAAGGAGGCUAAAUUUUGAGAAGUGGUGGCACAAGGGGAUGGGGACUUGCCAAGCCAGCCACCUGGGCGUUGUACUGUCUUUAUUUUUAAAACCACUAAAGUGCAAGACUUCCUUUUGCACUUUUCUCCACUUUUUUUUUUUUUUUUCCCCUCCUGGGUUUUUGUUUCUUUUUAUAAACGUACUUUCUGGGUUUUCUAAUGGAGUUAGAUGGUCUAGCCAUCCUCACAGACCCUGGCCCCCCUCUCAAACUCCUCUGGGUGGGGAAAGGGAAGGUGGGGAGCGUCAGCCACCUUCUCAGGUCCCCGGCCACCAGCCUGAGUCCCGAAUCUCCCGCCACCGUCGCCGCCGCCACCACCGCUGCCACCACAACCGCCACCGCCACCACCACCACCACCACCACACAGUAGCCCACACGGAUAGACAGUUGUCAGACAAGAUUCCUUCAGAUUCCGAGUUGCCUACCGGUUUUUUUUUUUCUUUUUUGAAGACAGCAAUAACCACAGCACAUAUUACUGUAGCUCUUUGUAGUGUUACGUACAUACAUAUCAUAGCUCUAUUCUCUCCCUUUGUUUUGUUUUCGACUUUUUUUUUUUUUUUAAUAAACGCUCAUAAUCUUUACUGGUGA
Molecule: long non-coding RNA, 1026 nt
Filed under: Vulpes vulpes (red fox)
Lineage: Eukaryota; Metazoa; Chordata; Mammalia; Carnivora; Canidae
Description: lncRNA (ENSVVUG00000007618.1)
Source: RNAcentral